RNAcentral lists this ribosomal RNA (483 nucleotides) under uncultured bacterium. RNAcentral describes it as "bacterial SSU rRNA". It matches the Rfam family "Bacterial small subunit ribosomal RNA", at positions 328 to 803 of the family's 1533-position model. The record is from RNAcentral.
UAGCGGAAUUCCUACGGGAGGCAGCAGUGGGGAAUUUUGGACAAUGGGGGCAACCCUGAUCCAGCAAUGCCGCGUGAGUGAAGAAGGCCUUCGGGUUGUAAAGCACUUUUGUCAGGGAAGAAACGGUAGUAGCUAAUAUCUAUUACUAAUGACGGUACCGGAAGAAUAAGCACCGGCUAACUACGUGCCAGCAGCCGCGGUAAUACGUAGGGUGCAAGCGUUAAUCGGAAUUACUGGGCGUAAAGCGUGCGCAGGCGGUUGUGUAAGUCAGAUGUGAAAUCCCCGGGCUCAACCUGGGAAUUGCAUUUGAGACUGCACGGCUAGAGUGUGUAAGAGGGGGGUAGAAUUCCACGUGUGGCAGUGAAAUGCGUAGAUAUGUGGGGGAAUACCGAUGGCGAAGGCAGCCCCCUGGGAUAACACUGACGCUCAUGCACGAAAGCGUGGGGAGCAAACAGGAUUAGAAACCCUGGUAGUCCACUUAUG